CCUACGGGAGGCAGCAGUAGGGAAUUUUCGUCAAUGGGCGCAAGCCUGAACGAGCAAUGCCGCGUGAACGAGGAAGGUCUUCGGAUCGUAAAGUUCUGUUGAAGGGGAAAAAGAGCGGAGAGAGGAAAUGGUCUCCGAUUGAUAUUACCCUUCGAGGAAGUCACGGCUAACUACGUGCCAGCAGCCGCGGUAAUACGUAGGUGGCGAGCGUUAUCCGGAAUGAUUGGGCGGAAGGGGUGCGUAGGCGGCCUGCUAAGUCUGGAGUGAAAGGUACCGGCUCAACCGGUACAGGCUCUGGAAACUGGCGGGCUAGAGAGCAGGAGAGGGCGGUGGAACUCCAUGUGUAGCGGUAAAAUGCGUAGAUAUAUGGAAGAAAACCAGUGGCGAAGGCGGCCGCCUGGCCUGUUACUGACGCUGAGGCACGAAAGCGUGGGGAGCAAAUAGGAUUAGAUCCCCAGUAGUC
RNAcentral lists this ribosomal RNA (463 nucleotides) under uncultured bacterium. Its description in RNAcentral is "partial 16S ribosomal RNA". It matches the Rfam family "Bacterial small subunit ribosomal RNA", at positions 338 to 795 of the family's 1533-position model. The record is from RNAcentral.